RNAcentral lists this small nuclear RNA (99 nucleotides) under Zalophus californianus (California sea lion). Lineage: Eukaryota; Metazoa; Chordata; Mammalia; Carnivora; Otariidae. The record is from RNAcentral. RNAcentral also lists the same sequence under 1 other name.
GCUCGCUUUGGCAGCCAUCCACUAAGACUGGAACAGUCCAGACAUUAGCAUGGCCUCUGUGCAAGGAUGACAUGCAAAUUCAUGAAGUUCCAUAUUUUA